RNAcentral lists this non-coding RNA (181 nucleotides) under Rhizobium sp. Lineage: Bacteria; Pseudomonadati; Pseudomonadota; Alphaproteobacteria; Hyphomicrobiales; Rhizobiaceae. The record is from RNAcentral.
GGCAUAGAGGCGGUGUCAGGUGCCCGUGACAAGGCGGGAGAAUCGGGAAUCCGGUGAAAGACCGGAACGUGCCCAACGCUGUAAGGCUGACGUUUGCCGCAUGAUGCCACUGGUCCAACCGGGAAGGCGCGGCAGACGGACGACGCCAAGUCAGAAGACCGGCCCGACAAUCAUUGACUGC